Molecule: small nuclear RNA, 180 nt
Filed under: Oryza rufipogon (brownbeard rice)
Lineage: Eukaryota; Viridiplantae; Streptophyta; Magnoliopsida; Poales; Poaceae
Description: snRNA U2
Rfam family: U2 spliceosomal RNA
About the family: U2 is a small nuclear RNA (snRNA) component of the spliceosome (involved in pre-mRNA splicing). Complementary binding between U2 snRNA (in an area lying towards the 5' end but 3' to hairpin I) and the branchpoint sequence (BPS) of the intron results the bulging out of an unpaired adenosine, on the BPS, which initiates a nucleophilic attack at the intronic 5' splice site, thus starting the first of two transesterification reactions that mediate splicing.
Source: Rfam by way of RNAcentral
UUCACUUUGGGUCCCUCAACUUUAUAUCGAGUUUAGUAUCGGAUAUGUGGGCCAUGUUCGCAUGGCCUGCUUCUGUAUCCAAAUAUUUUUUUAUGGGGAAGGGCCCAUUAGUGGUUCUGCCACUAGGGCCCUUGCGCGUUGCCGAGGCGUUGCACUGCUGCCCGGGCCGGCGCACCCCAA